This 1457-nucleotide long non-coding RNA is filed under the name Marmota monax (woodchuck). Lineage: Eukaryota; Metazoa; Chordata; Mammalia; Rodentia; Sciuridae. The record is from RNAcentral.
AAAUAAAGAUAUUGUGCUCAACUAAAAAAUAAAUAUUAAAAAAGAAAAAAAGCAAGGAAGUCCUCUUGUAGAGAGAAUGACCAUGCUGACACCUUGAUUUGGAGAUUCUAACCUCCUAAACCAUGAGAUAAUAAGAUUCAGUACUUAGUUAUAGAAGUUCUAAGAAACUAAUAUAGAUUUUGGAACUGAGAAAUCAGGUGCUGAUGCAAAAUAUAUCAGAGAUGUGGAAGUGGCUUUGAAAACUGGGUAAUGAGUAGAGGCUGCAAGAAUUUUGAGCCACUUGAUAGCAAAUCCUGUAUUGCCUUGAAAAGACUGUUCAUGGAAAUGUGAAUGUUACAGGUGCUUCUGCUGAGACCUCAGAUGGGAAUGAGGUCAUGUUAUUAGAAUCUGGAGGAAAGGUAAUUCUGGUUAAUAUGUGGCAGAAGACUUACUGAAUUUUAUUUUGGGUGCACAGUAGAUGUACUCAUAUGCAAACAAUAAACUCAUAUUUAGCUGAGGUUUCUAAACAAAUAAUGAAAGGUGCUGAUUAGUUUCUCCUCUCUAAUUAUACUAAAAUGUGAUAGGAUAGAGAAAUAUUGAAGAUGAAAUUCUGUUUCAGGACUGCAACAUAGGAAUUCUGACUGUUUCCAGCCCCAUGUCCUGCACUGUGGAUUUCAAACUCAAGACAUCAACACUUACCUGAAUUUCUACCUACCAAUACACAUAGUUACCCUGCAGGCUUACUCUGCAGUGUCCUAACAUAGGUUGUUCCACUGCCUGGAAAGUUCUCACCCAACUGAGCCUUCAGAUUGAAGCCCAGCUAUCAUUUCUCCAGGGAAGUCUUCUUGAACUGUCAAAGACAUCAUGCAGAUUCCUUACUGAAUGAUUUCAUAACUCCAUAAUUUUUAUCCAAGGAACUUGUCAAAAUUAGCUAUUACACAUUACUAAAAGGAUUUGUUUCUGUCUUUACAAGGCUGUGAGCAAUGUAAGAGCAUAAUCUUUUCUGUUCUGAAUCCCCAAUCCCUAUCAUAGUUUCUGGCAUAAAGAAUGCAUUCAAUAUGCGUUGUUGAAUGAAUAAAUGAAUGGAUGAAAAAAAAAAGAAUUAAAAAAAAGAUGACCCAGAGAAAACUGCAUUAGAGCUCUCUCUCUGGAGAUUGCUCCAAUGGAACGACUCCUUGUCUCAUUCCUUGUGCCAAUGCCACUCAUCCUUCAGGACCCCUGGACCCUGCUAGGGCAGGACCCUGGAAGGUAGGUGUGGCCUCUCCUACCUUCUGGUUUUCAAAGUAUUCUUUUUACUGAGGACAGAGCACCACAUAGAGUUCACUGAUCCAGUAUGUCUCCUGCAUCCCACAAGAUAGCACCCCAUCCUCAUAAGGGAGUCCUCUGUGCUGGCAUCCAGAAUUGAUCUACUUUCUCAAGCAUAUGUCUUAGCAAUACCCAUUAACCUACUGACCACCUGGUGCCCACCUGCCUCUUUA